This 72-nucleotide transfer RNA is filed under the name Chytriomyces sp. MP71. RNAcentral describes it as "tRNA-Pro". It matches the Rfam family "tRNA". From Rfam's summary of the family: Transfer RNA (tRNA) molecules are approximately 80 nucleotides in length. Their secondary structure includes four short double-helical elements and three loops (D, anti-codon, and T loops). Further hydrogen bonds mediate the characteristic L-shaped molecular structure. tRNAs have two regions of fundamental functional importance: the anti-codon, which is responsible for specific mRNA codon recognition, and the 3' end, to which the tRNAs corresponding amino acid is attached (by aminoacyl-tRNA synthetases). tRNAs cope with the degeneracy of the genetic code in two manners: having more than one tRNA (with a specific anti-codon) for a particular amino acid; and 'wobble' base-pairing, i.e. permitting non-standard base-pairing at the 3rd anti-codon position. Lineage: Eukaryota; Fungi; Chytridiomycota; Chytridiomycetes; Chytridiales; Chytriomycetaceae. The record is from RNAcentral.
GGCCCAAUGGUCUAGUAGCAUGAUUCCUGCUUCGGGUGCAGGAGGUCCCGGGUUCAAUUCCCGGUUGGGCCC